AUACGGAGGGUGCAAGCGUUACUCGGAAUCACUGGGCGUAAAGCGCGCGCAGGCGGCUUGGUAAGUUGGAUGUGAAAGCCUACGGCUCAACCGUAGAACUGCAUCCAAAACUGUCAAGCUAGAGUGUGCGAGAGGAAGAUGGAAUUAGUUGUGUAGGGGUAAAAUCCGUAGAGAUAACUAGGAAUACCAAAAGCGAAGGCAAUCUUCUGGAACACUACUGACGCUGAGGCGCGAAAGCGUGGGGAGCAAACAGAAUUAGAUACCCUAGUAGUCC
Molecule: ribosomal RNA, 274 nt
Filed under: uncultured bacterium
Lineage: Bacteria
Description: partial 16S ribosomal RNA
Rfam family: Bacterial small subunit ribosomal RNA
Source: RNAcentral